GAUGAACGCUGGCGGCGUGCUUAACACAUGCAAGUCGAACGAAGCGCUUAAGCUGAUUUCUUCGGAUUGAUUCUUGAGUGACUGAGUGGGCGGACGGGUGAGUAACGCGUGGGUAACCUGCCUCAUACAGGGGGAUAACAGUCAGAAAUGGCUGCUAAUACCGCAUAAGCGCACAGUACCGCAUGGUACAGUGUGAAAAACUCCGGUGGUAUGAGAUGGACCCGCGUCUGAUUAGCUGGUUGGUGGGGUAACGGCCCACCAAGGCGACGAUCAGUAGCCGGCCUGAGAGGGUGAACGGCCACAUUGGGACUGAGACACGGCCCAA
This 325-nucleotide ribosomal RNA is filed under the name uncultured bacterium. RNAcentral's name for it is "bacterial SSU rRNA". It matches the Rfam family "Bacterial small subunit ribosomal RNA", at positions 28 to 334 of the family's 1533-position model. The record is from RNAcentral.